RNAcentral lists this ribosomal RNA (1017 nucleotides) under uncultured organism. RNAcentral describes it as "bacterial SSU rRNA". It matches the Rfam family "Bacterial small subunit ribosomal RNA", at positions 355 to 1375 of the family's 1533-position model. The record is from RNAcentral.
UGAGGAAUAUUGGUCAAUGGACGAGAGUCUGAACCAGCCAAGUAGCGUGAAGGAUGACUGCCCUAUGGGUUGUAAACUUCUUUUAUACGGGAAUAAAGUUAGCCACGUGUGGCUUUUUGUAUGUACCGUAUGAAUAAGGAUCGGCUAACUCCGUGCCAGCAGCCGCGGUAAUACGGAGGAUCCGAGCGUUAUCCGGAUUUAUUGGGUUUAAAGGGAGCGUAGGCGGGUUGUUAAGUCAGUUGUGAAAGUUUGCGGCUCAACCGUAAAAUUGCAGUUGAUACUGGCGACCUUGAGUGCAACAGAGGUAGGCGGAAUUCGUGGUGUAGCGGUGAAAUGCUUAGAUAUCACGAAGAACUCCGAUUGCGAAGGCAGCUUACUGGAUUGUAACUGACGCUGAUGCUCGAAAGUGUGGGUAUCAAACAGGAUUAGAUACCCUGGUAGUCCACACAGUAAACGAUGAAUACUCGCUGUUGGCGAUAUACGGUCAGCGGCCAAGCGAAAGCAUUAAGUAUUCCACCUGGGGAGUACGCCGGCAACGGUGAAACUCAAAGGAAUUGACGGGGGCCCGCACAAGCGGAGGAACAUGUGGUUUAAUUCGAUGAUACGCGAGGAACCUUACCCGGGCUUAAAUUGCAACUGACUGAACCGGAAACGGUUCCUUCUUCGGACAGUUGUGAAGGUACUGCAUGGUUGUCGUCAGCUCGUGCCGUGAGGUGUCGGCUUAAGUGCCAUAACGAGCGCAACCCUUAUCGAUAGUUACUAGCAGGUCAUGCUGAGGACUCUAUUGAGACUGCCGUCGUAAGAUGUGAGGAAGGUGGGGAUGACGUCAAAUCAGCACGGCCCUUACGUCCGGGGCUACACACGUGUUACAAUGGGGGGUACAGAAGGCAGCUACACGGCGACGUGGUGCUAAUCCCGAAAGCCUCUCUCAGUUCGGAUUGGAGUCUGCAACCCGACUCCAUGAAGCUGGAUUCGCUAGUAAUCGCGCAUCAGCCACGGCGCGGUGAAUACGUUCCC